CUUAGGACUCUGCACACUGGAACAACUUAUUCAUGAGCACUUCUUUGCAGCAAAGAAUUCUCUGCAGCUCUUCCUGUGGGCAGAGAGCAUGGGUAGAUGGUCUCCACUCAGCCUUGCUCUUUGUAACAUGAUGGAACCAAAGAAAUCUCUCUUCUACCAGACAGUAAGAACCUAGGUUGCUGGGACAACAUGUCAGCUGCAAAAAAAACCUUAAAAUAAAGGUGGCUCAUUUCCAAG
Motacilla alba alba is the source of this 237-nucleotide long non-coding RNA. RefSeq lists it as uncharacterized. NCBI's taxonomy places the organism in Eukaryota, Metazoa, Chordata, Aves, Passeriformes, Motacillidae. The transcript has 3 exons. The record is from RefSeq and is a predicted model, not a curated record.